AGACAGGCAUGUCUAGUAUAGCAAUCUGUACAGUGAAACUGCGAAUGGCUCAUUAAAUCAGUUAUCGUUUAUUUGAUAGUACCUUUGCUACUUGGAUAACCGUGGUAAUUCUAGAGCUAAUACAUGCUAAAAAUCCCGACCCCUGGAAGGGAUGUAUUUAUUAGAUAAAAAACCAACGGCUUCGGCCUCCUUGGUGAUUCAUGAUAACUUAACGAAUCGCAUGGCCUUGUGCCGGCGAUGGUUCAUUCAAAUUUCUGCCCUAUCAACUUUCGAUGGUAGGAUAGUGGCCUACCAUGGUUUCAACGGGUAACGGGGAAUUAGGGUUCUAUUCCGGAGAGGGAGCCUGAGAAACGGCUACCACAUCCAAGGAAGGCAGCAGGCGCGCAAAUUACCCAAUCCCGACACGGGGAGGUAGUGACAAUAAAUACUGAUACAGGGCUCUUUUGGGUCUUGUAAUUGGAAUGAGUACAAUUUAAAUCCCUUAACGAGGAACAAUUGGAGGGCAAGUCUGGUGCCAGCAGCCGCGGUAAUUCCAGCUCCAAUAGCGUAUAUUAAAGUUGUUGCAGUUAAAAAGCUCGUAGUUGAACCUUGGGUCUGGCUGGCCGGUCCGCCUCACCGCGUGCACUGGUCCGGCCGGAUCUUUCCUUCUGGCUAGCCGCAUGCCCUUCACUGGGUGUGUUGGGGAACCAGGACUUUUACUUUGAAAAAAUUAUAGUGUUCAAAGCAGGCAUAUGCUCGAAUACAUUAGCAUGGAAUAAUAGAAUAGACGUGCGGUUCUAUUUUGUUGGUUUCUAGGACCGCCGUAAUGAUUAAUAGGGAUAGUCGGGGGGCUCGGGAUUCCAUUGUCAGAGGUGAAAUUCGUGGAUUUAUUGAAGACUAAAUACAACAAAAGCUGUUGCCAGGAUUGUUUUCUAUAAUCAGUGAACGAAAGUCAGGGAGUCGGAGGGGAUUAAACGCCGUCGUAGUCUUAACCAUAAACUAUGCCGACUAGGGAUCGGGCGAUGUUCUUUUUCUGACUCGCUCGGCACCUUACGAGAAAUCAAAGUCUUUGGGUCUGGGGGAGUAUUCCACGC
This 1073-nucleotide ribosomal RNA is filed under the name Tuber sp. Its description in RNAcentral is "SSU rRNA". It matches the Rfam family "Eukaryotic small subunit ribosomal RNA", at positions 47 to 1132 of the family's 1831-position model. Lineage: Eukaryota; Fungi; Ascomycota; Pezizomycetes; Pezizales; Tuberaceae. The record is from RNAcentral.